UACGAAGGGGGCUAGCGUUGCCCGGAUUUACUGGGUGUAAAGGGCGCGUAGGCGGAUUAGCAAGUCAGAGGUGAAAUCCUACAGCUUAACUGUAGAACUGCCCUUGAAACUGUUAGUCUUGAGUGCGGAAGAGAGAAGCGGAAUUCCAGGUGUAGUGGUGAAAUACGUAGAUAUCUGGAAGAACACCAGUUGCGAAGGCGGCUUCUUGGUCCGUCACUGACGCUGAGGCGCGAAAGCGUGGGGAGCAAACAGG
RNAcentral lists this ribosomal RNA (253 nucleotides) under uncultured bacterium. RNAcentral describes it as "partial 16S ribosomal RNA". It matches the Rfam family "Bacterial small subunit ribosomal RNA", at positions 524 to 776 of the family's 1533-position model. The record is from RNAcentral.